RNAcentral lists this ribosomal RNA (442 nucleotides) under uncultured bacterium. RNAcentral's name for it is "bacterial SSU rRNA". It matches the Rfam family "Bacterial small subunit ribosomal RNA", at positions 29 to 514 of the family's 1533-position model. The record is from RNAcentral.
AACGAACGCUGGCGGCAGGCUUAACACAUGCAAGUCGAACGCAUCCUUCGGGGUGAGUGGCAGACGGGUGAGUAACACGUGGGAACGUACCUUUCGGUUCGGGAUAACCCAGGGAAACUUGGGCUAAUACCGGAUACGUCCUUAGGGAGAAAGAUUCAUUGCCGAAAGAUCGGCCCGCGUCUGAUUAGCUAGUUGGUGAGGUAACGGCUCACCAAGGCGACGAUCAGUAGCUGGUCUGAGAGGAUGAUCAGCCACACUGGGACUGAGACACGGCCCAGACUCCUACGGGAGGCAGCAGUGGGGAAUAUUGGACAAUGGGCGCAAGCCUGAUCCAGCCAUGCCGCGUGAGUGAUGAAGGCCCUAGGGUUGUAAAGCUCUUUCGGCGGGGACGAUAAUGACGGGUACCCGCAGAAGAAGCCCCCGGCUAACUUCGUGCCAGCAG